GCCGUCAUAGCUCAGUUGGUUCAAGUUCUCGUGUGAGGUGGCUUUGCUUAUCUGGAGGGCUGUGGGUUCGAAUCCCACUGGCAGCG
Molecule: non-coding RNA, 86 nt
Organism: Mycena floridula
Lineage: Eukaryota; Fungi; Basidiomycota; Agaricomycetes; Agaricales; Mycenaceae
Source: the annotation of a GenBank genome assembly